AGGCUUAACACAUGCAAGUCGAACGGUAGCAGAAAAAGCUUGCUUUUUGCUGACGAGUGGCGAACGGGUGCGUAACGCGUAUGCAACCUACCUUCUUCAGAGGAAUAGCCCAGAGAAAUUUGGAAUAAUACCUCAUAAUAAUAUUUUUUCGCAUGUUAAAAUAUUUAAAGCUCCGGCGGAAGAAGAUGGGCAUGCGUAACAUUAGUUUGUUGGUGAGGUAAUGGCUCACCAAGACUACGAUGUUUAGGGGGUCUGAGAGGAUGAUCCCCCACACUGGUACUGAGACACGGACCAGACUCCUACGGGAGGCAGCAGUGAGGAAUAUUGGUCAAUGGACGAAAGUCUGAACCAGCCAUGCCGCGUGAAGGAUGACUGCCCUAUGGGUUGUAAACUUCUUUUGUAUAGGAAGAAACCCCUCUACGUGUAGAGGGCUGACGGUACUAUUCGAAUAAGCACCGGCUAACUCCGUGCCAGCAGCCGCGGUAAUACGGAGGGUGCGAGCGUUAUCCGGAAUUAUUGGGUUUAAAGGGUGCGUAGGCGGAAAUUUAAGUCAGUGGUGAAAGCCUACAGCUUAACUGUAGAAUUGCCAUUGAAACUGAAUUUCUUGAAUCUAAUUGAAGUAGGCGGAAUAUGACAUGUAGCGGUGAAAUGCUUAGAUAUG
This 661-nucleotide ribosomal RNA is filed under the name uncultured Bacteroidota bacterium. RNAcentral's name for it is "bacterial SSU rRNA". It matches the Rfam family "Bacterial small subunit ribosomal RNA", at positions 44 to 698 of the family's 1533-position model. The record is from RNAcentral. Lineage: Bacteria; Pseudomonadati; Bacteroidota.